Molecule: long non-coding RNA, 2312 nt
Filed under: Citrus sinensis (sweet orange)
Lineage: Eukaryota; Viridiplantae; Streptophyta; Magnoliopsida; Sapindales; Rutaceae
Description: long non-coding RNA (CSIN_LNC004404)
Source: RNAcentral
UUCAGUUUUUUUUUCCACGCUUGUCCUAUCUCAAUCAUUUUUCCACAUUUUAGGGCACCACAAAAAGGUCCCAACUCCUGUGAAACCUGAAGUGCAGAAGGCAGCACCACCUAUUGAAGUGCCUGCAUUGCCUUUGGAUGAACUGAAAGAAAAGACGGACAAUUUUGGAUCAAAGGCAUUGAUUGGUGAGGGAUCGUAUGGAAGGGUGUAUUAUGCAAACUUAGAAAAUGGCAAAGCAGUGGCUGUUAAAAAGCUUGAUGUUUCCUUUGAGCCCGAGUCAAAUGUUGAAUUUUUGACUCAGGUAUAUCUGAAACUUCAUAGAAGCAUAUUGUUUUUAUUAUUACUUUGUUGUUAUUGAUAGCUGAAUUUACAUUUUUAAUGCAUAUGUUUUUGUCCCGCUAUUUUAUAUCAGGUUUCAAUUGUUUAAAGAUUGAAGCAUGAAAAUCUUGUCGAGUUGCUUGGUUACUGUGUUGAAGGAAAUCUCCGUGUUCUUGCUUAUGAAUUUGCUACAAUGGGAUCUCUUCAUGACAUAUUGCAUGGUACAUUGUGCAUCUUGCUUAAUCUUAACCUGCAUUAUUGAUUCACUUGCUAAGAUUGCCUUGAUUAGAAGAUAGGAUGAGCUGAUUUGGAUUAUACAUGUAAUUACAUGCAUGUGUUUCUUUUCCCCCUACCUCUCUUUAUUGAUGGGUUGUGAAUGGUAUAUUUAGAACUUAGUUGCCUUUUUUUUUCCCCCAAUUUUCUGAAAUGAAAUACCCUUUUGUAGCAAUUUUGAAUGUCAAAUUAACAUUGUAUGGUUAUACAUCAUUUUACUGUCAAAUCUUUUUCUCAUUUUGAAUGUUGGCUUAUGAUUAAUUUGUUUAAUUGUCCGGCUGUGGUGCGGAAUUUCGUGUGUAAUGUGUGCAGGCACAUGCACCUUCUCCAGGUUACUUUGUACGAUUGGAUAAAGGUCCUGAAGACGAUCUCUAUUUGAAGAAGAGAGUAAAGAUGCAUCGCUAGCUCUGUUGUACUUGUCAAGUAGAGGAGUCUUAUCCAUCUUAUGAAAAUGAGCGUCUGAAAAGCCCAAAGAAUUAUCCAGAUGGUAUGUUUCUUUGGCCCUUAUUGUCUCGAUUUAUUCUUGAAUAGUGAAGCAGCUUUUGAAUAGAUGUAAUACUUUGAAUUCCUUGUUUAUAACAUCACUUUUAAUUGGUCUUGCAAUUAUAUUUGGGUACAUUUAAUAAUUUGUAAUGAUUCCGAACUUUUAAUUGUUUUAUGUUUAGAUAGAACGAUUUGGACAUGGCUUUGAUCUCGCAUUUUACAACUUAAUAAGAUAAAUUAAAAUUCAUAUUUAUAUUAGGAAAUUCUUGAUAAUUUUAGCACUUGGUUUUUAAUAUUAUGUUGGACAAUUGCUAGAGAUGAGAAAAAGUUGGUUAUGAGUUGUUUUGAUGAUCAGAUGGGUACCAAUGUCAAGGAUUCAGCAAUUAAUAUCUUUUACUUUUCCUCAUAUAUGGCUACGCUCAAACUGAAAUUCAAAAUUGUUUUAUGAGAGCUUAUUGCAGUAGAUAUUCUAUUCUUCUUGCAGAAAAUUGAUAUAUCAUUUAAUUAGCAACAACUAGUUUCAUUGUGACUCCAAAUACAUAUUUGAUGUUGUAAUUAAGUUUAUUUUCACAUAAGGCCUUCAAAAGUAGCUAUUGGCAUAAUUUCAUAUGGUUAAAAGGAUAUGAAUAGAUUUUUUAUUUAUGAAUAAAGGCAUACAUUUGUAACUAGGUUCAGUUUUUUUUUCCACGCUUGUCCUAUCUCAAUCAUUUUUCCACAUUUUAGGGCACCACAAAAAGGUCCCAACUCCUGUGAAACCUGAAGUGCAGAAGGCAGCACCACCUAUUGAAGUGCCUGCAUUGCCUUUGGAUGAACUGAAAGAAAAGACGGACAAUUUUGGAUCAAAGGCAUUGAUUGGUGAGGGAUCGUAUGGAAGGGUGUAUUAUGCAAACUUAGAAAAUGGCAAAGCAGUGGCUGUUAAAAAGCUUGAUGUUUCCUUUGAGCCCGAGUCAAAUGUUGAAUUUUUGACUCAGGUAUAUCUGAAACUUCAUAGAAGCAUAUUGUUUUUAUUAUUACUUUGUUGUUAUUGAUAGCUGAAUUUACAUUUUUAAUGCAUAUGUUUUUGUCCCGCUAUUUUGUAUCAGGUUUCAGUUGUUUCAAGAUUAAAGCAUGAAAAUCUUGUCGAGUUGCUUGGUUAAUGUGUUGAAGGAAAUCUCCGUGCUCUUGCUUAUGAAUUUGCUACAAUGGGAUCUCUUGAUUAGAAGAUAUGAUGAGCUGAUUUGGAUUAUACAUGUAAUUAC